Molecule: ribosomal RNA, 497 nt
Filed under: uncultured bacterium
Lineage: Bacteria
Description: partial 16S ribosomal RNA
Rfam family: Bacterial small subunit ribosomal RNA
Source: RNAcentral
GAUGAACGCUGGCGGCGUGCCUAAUACAUGCAAGUCGAGCGAACGGACGAGACGCUUGCUUCUUUGAUGUUAGCGGCGGACGGGUGAGUCACACGUGGAUACCCUACCUAUAAGACUGGGAACACUUCGAGACACCGGCGCUAAUACCGGAUGAUAUUUUGAACCGCAUGGUUCAAAGGUGAAAGACGGUCUUGCUGUCACUUCUAGAUGGAUCCGCGCUGCAUUAGCUAGUUGGUAAGGUAACGGCCUAUCAAGGCAACGAUGCAUAGCCGACGUGUGAGGGUGAUAGGCCACACGGGAACGUAGACAGGGACCAGAGGCCUACGGGAGGCCGCAGUAGGGAACGGUACGCAAUAGUCGAGAGCCUGACGGAGCGGCGCCACGCGAGUGGUGGAGGUCUCCGGAUCGUGAUGCUCGCUUAUUAGUGAAGAACAGAUGUGGAAGUAACUGAACACAGCGUGACGGUACCUAGUAAGAAAGCCACGGCUAACUACGUG